Molecule: ribosomal RNA, 439 nt
Filed under: uncultured bacterium
Lineage: Bacteria
Description: partial 16S ribosomal RNA
Rfam family: Bacterial small subunit ribosomal RNA
Source: RNAcentral
CUACGGGCUGCUCCAGUGGGGAAUAUUGGACAAUGGGCGCAAGCCUGAUCUAGCCAUGCCGCGUGAGCGACGAAGGCCUUAGGGUCGUAAAGCUCUUUCGCUGGGGAAGAUAAUGACGGUACCCAGUAAAGAAACCCCGGCUAACUCCGUGCCAGCAGCCGCGGUAAUACGGAGGGGGUUAGCGUUGUUCGGAAUUACUGGGCGUAAAGCGCGCGUAGGCGGAUCAGAAAGUUGGGGGUGAAAUCCCGGGGCUCGACCCCGGAACUGCCUUCAAAACUCCUGGUCUUGAGUUCGAGAGAGGUGAGUGGAAUUCCGAGUGUAGAGGUGAAAUUCGUAGAUAUUCGGAGGAACACCAGUGGCGAAGGCGGCUCACUGGCUCGAUACUGACGCUGAGGUGCGAAAGCGUGGGGAGCAAACAGGAUUAGAUACCCUCGUAGUC